GAGGAAUAAGCAUCGGCUAACUCCGUGCCAGCAGCCGCGGUAAUACGGGGGAUGCAAGCGUUAUCCGGAAUCAUUGGGCGUAAAGCGCCUGUAGGUUGUUUAAUAAGUCUGUUGUUAAAGACUAGGGCUUAACCCUAGAAAAGCAAUGGAAACUACUAGACUAGAGUAUGGCAGGGGUAGAGGGAAUUUCUAGUGUAGCGGUGAAAUGCGUAGAUAUUAGAAAGAACACCAGUGGCGAAAGCGCUCUACUGGACCAUUACUGACACUCAGAGGCGAAAGCUAGGGUAGCAAAAGGGAUUAGAUACCCCUGUAGUCCUAGCCGUAAACGAUGGAUACUAGAUGUUGUGCUUAAUGUACAGUAUCGUAGCUAACGCGUUAAGUAUCCCGCCUGGGGAGUACGCUCGCAAGGGUGAAACUCAAAGGAAUUGACGGGGGCCCGCACAAGCGGUGGAGCAUGUGGUUUAAUUCGAUGCAACGCGAAGAACCUUACCAGGGCUUGACAUACUACAAAUUUUUUAGAGAUAGAAAAGUGCCUUUGGGAAUGUAGAUACAGGUGGUGCAUGGCUGUCGUCAGCUCGUGUCGUGGGAUGUUGGGUUAAGUCCCGCAACGAGCGCAACCCUUAUUUUUAGUUACUAACUUGUUAGGUUUUCUAGAAAGACUGCCGGUGACAAACCGGAGGAAGGUGAGGAUGACGUCAAGUCAGCAUGCCCCUUAUGUCCUGGGCUACACACGUGCUACAAUGGUUAAGACAAAGAGUCGCGAGCUCGCGAGAGUCAGCUAAUCUCAUAAACUUAGCCUAAGUUCAGAUUGUAGGCUGCAACUCGCCUACGUGAAG
RNAcentral lists this ribosomal RNA (836 nucleotides) under Haptophyta environmental samples. RNAcentral's name for it is "bacterial SSU rRNA". It matches the Rfam family "Bacterial small subunit ribosomal RNA", at positions 481 to 1325 of the family's 1533-position model. The record is from RNAcentral. Lineage: Eukaryota; Haptophyta.